This 429-nucleotide ribosomal RNA is filed under the name uncultured bacterium. Its description in RNAcentral is "bacterial SSU rRNA". It matches the Rfam family "Bacterial small subunit ribosomal RNA", at positions 355 to 796 of the family's 1533-position model. The record is from RNAcentral.
UGGGGAAUAUUGCACAAUGGGCGAAAGCCUGAUGCAGCGACGCCGCGUGAGGGAUGACGGCCUUCGGGUUGUAAACCUCUUUCAGCAGGGACGAAGCGCAAGUGACGGUACCUGCAGAAGAAGCACCGGCUAACUACGUGCCAGCAGCCGCGGUAAUACGUAGGGUGCAAGCGUUGUCCGGAAUUACUGGGCGUAAAGAGUUCGUAGGCGGUUUGUCGCGUCGUUUGUGAAAACUCACAGCUCAACUGUGAGCCUGCAGGCGAUACGGGCAGACUUGAGUACUGCAGGGGAGACUGGAAUUCCUGGUGUAGCGGUGAAAUGCGCAGAUAUCAGGAGGAACACCGGUGGCGAAGGCGGGUCUCUGGGCAGUAACUGACGCUGAGGAACGAAAGCGUGGGUAGCGAACAGGAUUAGAUACCCCCGUAGUCC